GUGGGGAAUAUUGGGCAAUGGGCGAAAGCCUGACCCAGCAACGCCGCGUGAAGGAAGAAGGUCUUCGGAUCGUAAACUUCUAUCCUUGGUGAAGAUAAUGACGGUAGCCGAGAAGGAAGCCCCGGCUAACUACGUGCCAGCAGCCGCGGUAAUACGUAGGGGGCAAGCGUUGUCCGGAAUGAUUGGGCGUAAAGGGCGCGUAGGCGGCCUGGUAAGUCUGGAGUGAAAGUCCUGCUUUUAAGGUGGGAAUUGCUUUGGGUACUGUCGGGCUUGAGUGCAGGAGAGGUAAGUGGAAUUCCCGGUGUAGCGGUGAAAUGCGUAGAGAUCGGGAGGAACACCAGUGGCGAAGGCGACUUACUGGACUGUAACUGACGCUGAGGCGCGAAAGCCAGGGGAGCAAACGGGAUUAGAUACCCGGGUAGUCC
RNAcentral lists this ribosomal RNA (425 nucleotides) under uncultured bacterium. RNAcentral's name for it is "partial 16S ribosomal RNA". It matches the Rfam family "Bacterial small subunit ribosomal RNA", at positions 354 to 796 of the family's 1533-position model. The record is from RNAcentral.